This 442-nucleotide ribosomal RNA is filed under the name uncultured bacterium. RNAcentral describes it as "partial 16S ribosomal RNA". It matches the Rfam family "Bacterial small subunit ribosomal RNA", at positions 28 to 507 of the family's 1533-position model. The record is from RNAcentral.
GAUGAACGCUGGCGGCGUGCCUUAUACAUGCAAGUCGAGUGGGUUUAGACCCACGGCAAACGGGUGAGUAACACGUAGGUACUUUCCUUGUCACAGGAAUAACCCUCCGAAAGGAGGGCUAAUACCUGAUGUGAUCGCAAGAUUAAAGGGUAUCCGCAAGGAUUACCGGACAAUAAGAGGCCUGCGGCCUAUCAGCUAGUUGGCGGGGUAAAUGCCCACCAAGGCUAUGACGGGUAGCUGGUCUUAUGAGGAUGAUCAGUCACAUGGGAACUGAGACACGGGUCCAACACCUACGGGAGGCGGCAGUAGGGAAUUUUGCGCAAUGGGCGAAAGCCAGACGCAGCGACGCCGCGUGCGGGAUGAAGGCCUUCGGGUCGUAAACCGCUUUUAUAAGGGACGAACUUUGACGGUACCUUAUGAAUAAGAGGUUGCUAACUCUGUG